GAUGAACGCUGGCGGCGUGCUUAACACAUGCAAGUCGAACGGAAAGGCCAGUGCUUGCACUGGUACUCGAGUGGCGAACGGGUGAGUAACACGUGGGUGAUCUGCCCUGCACUUCGGGAUAAGCCUGGGAAACUGGGUCUAAUACCGGAUAGGACAAUGGUUUGGAUGCCGUUGUGGAAAGUUUUUUCGGUGUGGGAUGAGCUCGCGGCCUAUCAGCUUGUUGGUGGGGUAAUGGCCUACCAAGGCGUCGACGGGUAGCCGGCCUGAGAGGGUGUACGGCCACAUUGGGACUGUGAGACGGCCCAGACUCCUACGGGGGGCAGCAGUGGGGAAUAUUGCACAAUGGGCGCAGGCCUGAUGCAGCGACGCCGCGUGGGGGAUGACGGCCUUCGGGUUGUAAACACCUUUCGCUAGGGACGAAGCGUAUUUGUGACGGUACCUGGAGAAGAAGCACCGGCUAACUACGUG
This 468-nucleotide ribosomal RNA is filed under the name uncultured bacterium. RNAcentral describes it as "partial 16S ribosomal RNA". It matches the Rfam family "Bacterial small subunit ribosomal RNA", at positions 28 to 507 of the family's 1533-position model. The record is from RNAcentral.